Molecule: long non-coding RNA, 667 nt
Filed under: Phoenix dactylifera (date palm)
Lineage: Eukaryota; Viridiplantae; Streptophyta; Magnoliopsida; Arecales; Arecaceae
Description: long non-coding RNA (PDAC_LNC004129)
Source: RNAcentral
GUGUGAGAGCACAUUUUUUCAGAGCAUAUCUCCUUCCAUUUCUAUGAUGAGUGCUCUUAUGUGACAAAAUUAUAUAUUGGAAAGGUUGAGUUAUACUCUUAAUGAAUCCAAGAUAAGAAAUAUGCAGGGUAUUAAGUCACAAAUACCCUUAGAGGAUUUACAUAUGUGAGAAUUGUUGUAUAGGCUGCGACUAGGGGUUUGGGCUAACCCUAAUAAAAUGUUCGUAAAAAAAUCAAUGUAUCAAGCGCAAGGCCUUUUAAUGGUGCUGACCUUAUAAAGACCUAAUUGAUCCAUAUUGUAUGUGUUAUAAGUAGAAGUUUGAGUCCAAGGACCAAGUUCAAGGUCUAAUCUACUAUGGUAAUUCCUUCAGAUAGAUAAAUACUAUCAACACUAAGUGAGGUUUAAGUCUAUGGGACCUCUUACCCAUUUCACAGUAUAAGUUGUUCAGAUAUUCUACUAUAUAUUUUUUAAAAAAAAUUUAAAUCUUUUGUGAGGGAUUGUUGGAGUUUUAAUUAAAAAAAUUAAUUUUUUUAUCUCUUAACCCUUAGUUGUUUUAAAUAUUUUAAAAUACUUUUUUGUAAGACACCUAUUUUAGAAAAGUUGUGACCUUUAGAAGAGAACGUUGGCUUCCGAAAAGAUACGGUGUUUCUGAAAUGUUACGUAUCUU